This 159-nucleotide small RNA is filed under the name Fukomys damarensis (Damara mole-rat). RNAcentral's name for it is "TUC338 (ENSFDAG00000000060.1)". Lineage: Eukaryota; Metazoa; Chordata; Mammalia; Rodentia; Bathyergidae. The record is from RNAcentral.
UGGCCACUAAAGUCCUGUAUUUAUCUAUAGAGCAGGUACAGCUUGGGAAGCGCCAGAGAGCCCUUCCCCACCCUGCCCCGCCCAUGUGCCUCCACCCUGGCCUGGAGAGACCACCUGUAGGGUAAGAGAGGAGCCCUGCUCCUUCCCUCCCAGUUCUCU